CCAAAUGACAGCUGUCUUGGCCUCGCGCCCUGACGCUUCAACCUCUUGUGAACCAAACCAAACUUUCGCUUCGGCAGCUGGGCAACCGCCCGUGAGCCUGCCGCUGGCAUCAAAUUCAAACCUGCAUUAAAAACUUGUCUGAAUCCAAAUUUCUGAAUUGAAAUCA
RNAcentral lists this unclassified non-coding RNA (166 nucleotides) under uncultured fungus. RNAcentral's name for it is "sequence contains ITS1, 5.8S rRNA gene". The record is from RNAcentral. Lineage: Eukaryota; Fungi.